AUCUUACGCCCGUCGCCCUGAGUACGUUAGCGGAAAUGGCUCCGAGAGGCUUUGACGCAUGUGUACCUUUUUAGUGGCGGUAUCUCGGCCGGGGAUUUUCGGGCUCCAGUGGAGGUGGCUAUGCUCACCCCAUCUCCCUUGAGAGGCACAGAAGGUUAGAGAUGUGUGCGAGGAACGGCCAGGUCCAGCGUCUCCUCGUUGCUGCCCCUUGAGCCCGGGACCGGCGCCAAUGCGCGCCCGGGUUCUUGGGUUCUUUCGUCCCGCAGACCUGCCUUGGUGUGGCGUCCCUGGGCCGUAGCUUCCGAAGGCUGCAGCCGACCUGGUCGGGGUCCUCUAGCCCGCCUUCCCCUUCCCCCAUUGACAGAUGGAGAAACUGAGGCCCAGGCCAAAAAAUAUCUCACUAGAGGGCUCACCGCCAUUUCCUGGAAAAAUUGGGGCUGGGACUCAACGGACGCUCGUCCAGCAGCAGCGCGGAGCUCCGAAGUAAAGGCGCCCGUGACCGAGUGCUUUGUCCUUACAAGCGUGGUGUUCUUGAAUGCUUCCAGGCGCCUUAUGAGGCCCCCGAUGUACAAUCUGUGCUUAACUAAACCCCACUGUCUUCCAGGGUCAGGUUGGCCAUCCGCAGGCGUAGUUGCUAGGAAGGUUUGACAGAUGUCCGCCUGUUGAUUCAGACGUUCCCAGGAUUUGGAGCAAGAAGAGCAAGGAAGGCCAGGCGCGGUGGCUCACGUUUGUAAUCCCAGCACUUUGGGAGGCCGAGGCGGGCGGAUCACGAGGUCAGGAGUUCGAGACCAGCCUGGCCAGCAUGGUGAAACCCCGUCUCUACUAAAAAUACAAAAGAAAAUUAGCCGGGUGUGGUGGCACAUGCCUGUAGUCCCACCUACUUGGGAGGCUGAGGCAGGAGAAUUGUUUGACCUGGCAGGCGGAGGUUGCAGUGAGCCGAGAUUGCGCCACUGCACUCCAGUCUGGGCGACAGAGCGAGACUCUGUCUCAGAAAAAAAAAAGAGCAAGGAGGUGUUGAAAAUGGGUUUCCUGGCUGGGCGUGGUGGCUCACGCUUGUAAUCCCAGCACUUUGGGAAGCUGAGGUGGGCGGAUCACUUGAGGUCAGGAGUUUGAGACCAGCCUGGCCAACAUGGUGAAACACCGUCUCCACUAAAAAUAGAAAAAUUAACUGGGUGUGGUGGAGGGCGCCUGUAAUCCCAGCUAAUCAGGAAGCUGAGACAGGAGGAUCGCUUGAACCCAGGAGGCGGAGGUUGCAGUGAGCCGAGAUUGCUCCAUUGCACUCCAGCCUGGGCGAUAGAGUGAGACUCAGCCUCAAAAAAAAAAAAAAAAAAAAAUUCGCCAGGUGUGGUGGUGUGCGCCUAUAAUCCCAGCUACUCAGGAGGCAGAGGCACAAGAAUGGCUUGAAUCACUUGAACCUGGGAGGCAGAGGUUACAAUGAGCCGAGAUGGCACCACUGCACUCCAGCCUGGGCGACAGAGCGAGACUCCGACUUCCCAUCUUAAAAAAAAAAAAAAAAAAAAAAAAGAAGUGUAAAGAUGUGAUUAUGUGGCAGGGGGUAAGGGUUAAAAAGAAAACAAGAACAAGUUUUCCUCUGCUUAGCCAGCUUACUUCAAGGACAGUUAUAACACUGAAAAGUCGAGGCCAAAGGAAUGGGCUCCAGACAGCCUCCUCCGGAGCAAAGUUGAAAAGAAAAAUUCCUUUACUGUCUCUCCUUUUCUGAACCAUUAAAUAUGACUGUUUGCCAAUGGUUGUAUUUAGUAAGAUUUGUAGACUCUGUUUUUCUUUUGACACAGCUGCAAGGCCAACAGCUGUGCAAAGCCACAAGUUAUGCUAAGUCAGCAGUUAUGCUAUAGAUUACAUGACCUGUGACUGUAUCAUUAACUGCUUUUGUUUUGCUUCUGUAAGUUUGCCUAUAAAAACCACACUCAGUCUUUGUUCAAUGGUCAGCUUUUCAGAUACAAAUCCACUGAGCCGGUGUACAUCUAAAUAAAUCCUCCUGUUUCCCGUGUCA
Molecule: long non-coding RNA, 2011 nt
Filed under: Homo sapiens (human)
Lineage: Eukaryota; Metazoa; Chordata; Mammalia; Primates; Hominidae
Description: non-protein coding ILF3-DT:18
Source: RNAcentral